Molecule: long non-coding RNA, 1436 nt
Organism: Brassica napus (rape)
Lineage: Eukaryota; Viridiplantae; Streptophyta; Magnoliopsida; Brassicales; Brassicaceae
Exons: 5
Source: RefSeq, a predicted model, not a curated record
AGCAGAAUACUAAGCCCUCUAAGGGUGUACAUGUCGGAUUGAAAAAUUAGCCAUUCAUAGAGCAGCAUUCAUCCAUGUCAUUUUGAUUAAUUUUGGAUACGUGUUCUCUUCUUUCUUCUAUAUUACCGGCGACUUAUCACUUCUUCUUCUUCCACCACAUAUUUGUAACCGUCGAAUUAACUACAGCUCUUAACUCCUCUGCAAUUAAAUAUCGAAUACUUCCUCAUCCUUUCAGCUUCCAUAUUUAGGAACACGUUGGCAAGUCUCUGUUCAUCUUUUUCUAUUAUUGCAAUCUUCUAUUACAGCUGGAGAGGGCAAUGGAGAGGCGGAGAAGCUAGCUUGGGUUCGUUGAGAAGCAAAAAAACUUCCCGGGUAGUAAUAGAGAGAGCACCAGUUGUGGAUCCAGUUCGUUGAACUUUAUAAAUUUGCUAAGCGAUCAUUCAUGGGCAUGAUGAAAAAGUAUUCGACUUCUGCUCACUCACAUGCUUCCUCCUGUGCUGAUUGAGAAAGAUGGUACUCAGAGAAGUUCGUGAAAGGACAAUGAGAUAAAGAAGACUGUGUUCCUGAGUGAAAAACGUAAAUAGAAUGUCUCUUGGAAAGUUUAGAUCGAAAACUUCUUACGCCUAUUUUGGAGUUUUCUGACAUGAUGGUUGCCCUUCUGAUGUAAGCCACUUUGGGAUUUCUGCGUUUGCAAUCUGGUGAGUCAACAUCUGAUCUUAUCAUGUUAUUUCAAACAUGGAAGCGGGUAGAUUGGGCUCCAACCAUCGGUUAGAAGGCUUUUUCCCGGAUUACUCCAGCAGUUCAAUAAUAGCUGAUGUUAUCAUAUGCGAAAAUAUGUUUGGGGUGCUGACUUCUUCUUCUUCAUCAGCUGGUACUCCCCUUCGUUUCUUUGUUUAUGACAAGUAUUUAAAAGGACUAAAAAGGUAAAUAUACCUUUAUAUUUGAAAUCUGAAUUGGAAACAUUCUUCAGUCAAAAGUUAAUUGAAAUCUGAAUUUUCCAGAAUCCUGGAACACUUUCUAAAGCAAUAAAAAUUGAACACACUGUGCUUACACUUUCUGGCUCAGGAACUCUAGAGUGGUGACAACAUUACAAAAAUACUUUCAAAGUAUUUGGACCAUUGGGAUCAUCACACUUCACAGCAGAGGGGCGUUCAAGGAACCAUCUAUUGAAUAUUCUGUCAAAAAAUAGUAACACCACGUUAUUCACUAAUGAUAUAUUGUUCGUACACUCUUACAAACAAUGAUGUUAACGUAGGGUAAGUUCGAGUUUAGCCCCAUCUAUUGUGUGCCACCAGAUAAGGCUCUAUGUAAAAGAGGUUUUCAUUUCAGAUUAUUUAGACCGGGAGGUGGUGAGAGAUUUCUCUUUGGUGUGGCCUUUCAAGAAAUCUGUAUUUCUUUUUUAUUGAUAUCCAUUUUAAUGCAAAGCCUUCAACAUA